This 254-nucleotide ribosomal RNA is filed under the name uncultured bacterium. Its description in RNAcentral is "partial 16S ribosomal RNA". It matches the Rfam family "Bacterial small subunit ribosomal RNA", at positions 524 to 777 of the family's 1533-position model. The record is from RNAcentral.
UACGAAGGGGGCUAGCGUUGCUCGGAAUCACUGGGCGUAAAGGGUGCGUAGGCGGGUCUUUAAGUCAGGGGUGAAAUCCUGGAGCUCAACUCCAGAACUGCCUUUGAUACUGAAGAUCUUGAGUCCGGGAGAGGUGAGUGGAACUGCGAGUGUAGAGGUGAAAUUCGUAGAUAUUCGCAAGAACACCAGUGGCGAAGGCGGCUCACUGGCCCGGUACUGACGCUGAGGCACGAAAGCGUGGGGAGCAAACAGGG